UCUGAUUGAUCACCUGAAGCAAGCCAUGAGCCAGCCAGAGGAGCACAGGUGAAGGCAAUUCAGCUGUGCUGCUGGAAGGCCUAUUUAAGAGUGGGGAAGGAUCUCUUUUGGAGAUCUGCUCUGCUGCAGUUUUGUAAAUGAGCCCAGGAUAGGGGCUGGUGCUCCACUGCCUCUCACCUUGAUACGUCUUCAGCCAAGUACAGAAGUAUAGAAAAGAGAGAGCAGCAAAUCUGAGCAUGCUGUGGCUGUACUGAAGGAUUCUGCACUGCUGAGGGACAGCUGAGGUCCGUGAAGCUGCCUCUGGGUUGGCCUUCAGCUUGCUUGUGCAUCCAGACACGGUGAACUGGAGCUUUGGCAUAGUGAAUUAAGAAGAAAGGAGGUUUUGAGAGAGGACAACACACUUGUUUUUUCUGCUGCCUGCAGAACCAGCACUUGAUCUCAUGAGUUAGACGACUUUUGAAAGGUGCCUGGAAGUCCCUUGCAGAAGUUGCUGCUCCCAGGAAUGUGCUGACAUAAUGGCUCCUACAGAAGCGUGAAGCUGAAUCAGGUCCUCACCCUGCUCUGUGCAGAAUUAUGUCCCAGUGAGGAGGGAUCAGAAAGAGGCUUCCUGAAAUACUGCCCUUGCACUAGAGAGGCUGGGAAGGAGGAGAACCCAGAAAUAAAACAUAAAAAAUGUGUUCUGGCCACUGAAGCCAGUGUUGGCACAUCUUUUCAUGGAUCACUCUGGACUGGGGAAGUCAUCUAAUCAAGAACAGGCUAGCAUGGACAAAAGCUGCCUCAGCUUCCAGGCUGCUCCACCCAGGCUGGAGGCAUCUUCCUGUGUUCUGUGAACAGUGCAGCAAAGCAGAGAAUUUCAGGGACCGGAGAUCAAUCUGCUGUGCGGACACUGCUGUCAAAACAGCUCUUUAAUCACUUUGCCAGCAGUCAGGCUGGUUUCUCAUCGUUGUGUAUGAAGAUCUGAUGUUCACAGUCUGCUGCAGUCCCCAAGGAGGGCGAUUGCAUCCAGCUGAGGGUUCCAGAACCACAGGGCAUAAAAGGAGCAGAUAUCCACAGCCCUUGGGCACUGAACAGUGCCACUCUCUCCCAAGUGGGAGAGUAGCCAGCUGUGACAUCCCCUGAGUGCAGCAGACACAUCAGCCAGAGGCCUGUGAACACUUAGAACAUUAGGAGGGGUUGGAAACCAACAAGGCCUGGACUCCCAUGACUAUGUCCAACCACAGCUUGAGGGUAUCAUUGUGCUAAAAGACUGGUUGUAUGUAACACCAGGUAUAGCAGCUGCUUGGAAAUGAUAGAUAUUUAAAUGCUGCUUUCUCCCAUCAGCCCUAUCGAGUCAGCAGGGCAGAGAGAGCUUGUCCUUCACAGCAGCCUUCCCUGCCAGCCCUGGUACCCCACAGCAUGCAUGGGUGAUCUCUGAAAGCCUCUGGUGGGCUAAACACUACCUGAUUCAGAGGGACAGAAGGAAGCCAGGGCUGGUGCUCAGUUCCCAGUCUGUGCAUGAGGUAGAAGUAAAACCAGCUGACUUCCUAUCAUGCUUGAGUGCAUCCACACUGGAGGUACCAAGUAAACGCAGGGACUGGUCCUUGGAUUUUGCUUUUUGGGUGUAUCUGCCUUUUAGAAUGGGGACAGAUGAAGAUCUGGAUCCUGUGACACAUCAAGCACGUGUCAGACUUACAUCUGACUGGGCUGCUUUUCUUGGGGAUGGCAGGGAAGAAGUCCUCACCCCAAGGGCAGGAGAAGACCUGCACACACAGCAGUGCAGCACAAGGAAAGAGAGAUAGAUUAUUUUUCUCUCAAGAAAGAUAUGUGAUGAAGGCCAGAGAAGAGCCCAAUGGGAGCAUCUGCCAUUGGAGAUGCAAAUGUAAGAGCCAGUCUAUGUGAAGUUUGGCAACACUAAAGUAGGGAUCUGCCUCUUUCAGUGUUCCUGUGGACACAAGUGCAAGCAGAUAUUUGGAGGUUGUGUAUGAGCACUGAUUGGAUCCUGCAUUUUCACUUUGGUGCUGAAGCUGUUGCUAUGAGUUCUUAGGCUGCCUGAGCACAGCCUCAGAAGUGCUAUUGGUCUGAAAGCUUCUACGACUGGAGUAUUUUAUCUUCCUCAUUUUCACCGACACAACAGAGAUCCAGAAGUACAGUGAGACUUCAGAGGGCACUGUGUUGUCUGUAGUACUUUGAAGAAACAAUACGCUUUUUGAAACUGGUCUAGAGUCUGGGCUGCUUUUGGUACCAGCACGGAAGCAAGAAACUCUUCAACUCAGCACCAGUGACCAGUUUAAAACAGUCAUGCAGCCACUUCAAGCAUUUUGAUUUCCUGCAGAAUUGAAGAGUCAGAGAACAGGGAGACAGCUGUGCUGUCAUGGAGCAUAGGUGGAGAGCCCAUAUCUGAACUCCUCAGCCACAGAGGCAGACUCCUCUCAUUGGAAGGGGCUUGGUGCUGGAAAUUAACUACCACUAGAAGAUCCAUUUGGACCUCCUUAGCAAAGAACAGCACCAAAGUGCUGCUACAUCUAUGAACACUUGAAGUAGGUAGAUAGAUUCAGAACUGCAUUGAAAAAAGAACCAACAGAUGGUUGGACUGGAUGAUCCUGUAAGUCUUUUCUAACCUUGGUGAUUUUAUGGUUUUUAUGAGAAGAAAACAAGCAAUGUGAU
Long non-coding RNA from Tympanuchus pallidicinctus (lesser prairie-chicken), 2643 nucleotides. RefSeq lists it as uncharacterized. The transcript has 9 exons. NCBI's taxonomy places the organism in Eukaryota, Metazoa, Chordata, Aves, Galliformes, Phasianidae. The record is from RefSeq and is a predicted model, not a curated record.